Molecule: ribosomal RNA, 2943 nt
Filed under: Spirochaetes bacterium GWE2_31_10
Lineage: Bacteria; Pseudomonadati; Spirochaetota
Description: bacterial LSU rRNA
Rfam family: Bacterial large subunit ribosomal RNA
Source: RNAcentral
UGGCCAGGUAGUUAAGGGCUACCGGGGAAUGCCUAGGCACUGCGAGGCGAAGAAGGACGUAAUAAGCUGCGAUAAGCUACGGUUAGCUGCAAAUAAGUGCUUGACCCGUAGAUUUCCGAAUGGGGGAACCCACAUAGGGUAAUGCCUAUGUAUCUAUUACUGAGUAAAUUAGGUAAUAGAAGCGACACCAAGGGAAUUGAACCAUCUUAGUACCUUGAGGAGUAGAAAUCAAAAGAGAUUCCGGAAGUAGUGGCGAAUGAAACCGGAAAAGCCCAAACCGAGUAAGCAUGCUUAUUCGGGGUUGUAGGACUCUUAUAAUCGAUUAAACGAGUAUAGUGGAACUUGCUGGGAAGUAAGACCGAAGAGGGUGAAAGUCCCGUACACGAAAUAUGAGUUUACGAGAGAGUAUCCUGAGUACGGCGGGACACGAGAAAUCCCGUUGGAAUCCGGGUGGACCACCAUCCAAGGCUAAAUACUACGCAGUGACCGAUAGUGAAUAAGUACCGUGAGGGAAAGGCGAAAAGAACCCCGGGAGGGGAGUGAAAUAGAACCUGAAACCGGUAGCCUACAAGCCGUAGGAGCACCAUUAAGGUGUGACUUCGUGCCUUUUGCAUAAUGAGCCGGCGAGUUAUUGUAUGUUGCAAGAUUAAGUGAUUGAAGUCACGGAGUCGAAGGGAAACCGAGUAUGAAUAGUGCGUAUAAGUAGCAUAUAAUAGACCCGAAGCCAAGUGAGCUAUCCAUGACCAGGUUGAAGCACAGGUAAAACUUUGUGGAGGACCGAACACACGUGUGUUGAAAAAUGCGGUGAUGAGUUGUGGAUAGGGGUGAAAGGCCAAACAAACUUGGCGAUAGCUGGUUCUCUCCGAAAUAGUUUUAGGACUAGCCUCAUUUGUUCAGUUCUGGAGGUAGAGCACUGAUUGGACUAGGGCCCUUCACCGGGUACCAAACCCAGAUAAACUUCGAAUAUCAGAACUUCAGAGAAUGGGAGUCAGACCAUGUGCUAUAAGGUUCAUGGUCAAGAGGGAAAGAGCCCAGACCACCAGCUAAGGUCCCAAAUAUAUGCUAAGUGGAAAAGGAAGUGAAAUAGCACAGACAACCAGGAGGUUGGCUUAGAAGCAGCCAUUCCUUUAAAGAGUGCGUAAUAGCUCACUGGUCGAGUUGUUUUGCGCCGACAAUGUAACGGGGCUAAGCAUAUAACCGAAGCUGUGGAUUUAUUCUGACUGAGGUCAGAAUGAGUGGUAGGAGAGCGUUGUAUAUACUGAUGAAGCUAGAUGGUGAUGUCUAGUGGAGGGAAUACAAGUGAAGAUGCCGGCAUGAGUAACGAAAAAACAGAUAAAAAAUCUGUUCGCCGAAAACUCGAGGAUUCCUGGGUAAAGGUAAUCUUCCCAGGGUUAGUCGGCUCCUAAGGUGAGGCUGAGAAGCGUAGCUGAUGGGAAACUGGUAUAUAUUCCAGUACCUGGUAAUAUAGUGAUGGGAUGACGCAGGAGGCGAUUUUAGACCCGGGCGACGGUUGACCCGGGAGAGGUGACGAGGUGUUGAAGUGUAUAGUUAAAUGCGUACGCGGAGCUGAGUUGCUGAAGGAGUGAAUCUACGGAGGAACGAAGCUAAAUAGUCAUACUGCCAAGAAAUAAUCUCUAAACUUAUAUAUUAUCAGACCGUACCGUAAACCGACACAGGUGAGAGGGUUGAAUAUACUAAGGCGCUCGAGAUAACUAUCGUUAAGGAACUCGGCAAAUUACAUCCGUAACUUCGGGAGAAGGAUGGCCUAACCUACUUGAUAGGAAGGUUGCAGAGAAUAGGUUCAAGCGACUGUUUACCAAAAACACAGGACUCUGCGAACGCGCAAGCGGAAGUAUAGGGUCUGACACCUGCCCGGUGCUGGAAGGUCAAGAGGAGAGGUUAGCGCAAGCGAAGCUUUGAAUUUAAGCCCCAGUAAACGGCGGCCGUAACUAUAACGGUCCUAAGGUAGCGAAAUUCCUUGUCGGGUAAGUUCCGACCUGCACGAAUGGUGUAACGACUUGAACACUGUCUCAACGAUAGACUCGGUGAAAUUGGAAUAGCGGUGAAAAUACCGUUUACCCAUGACUAGACGGAAAGACCCCGUGAACCUUUACUGUAGCUUGAUAUUGUUAUUUGGUAAAUGAUGUGUAGGAUAGGUGGGAGACUAUGAAGUCGGUACGCUAGUAUCGGUGGAGUCGCCGUUGAAAUACCACCCUUCGUUUAUUAAGUAUCUAACUAUUGACGUGAAACCGGCAAUAGGACAGUUUCAGGUGGGCGGUUUGACUGGGGCGGUCGCCUCCCAAAGAGUAACGGAGGCGUGCAAAGGUUCCUUCAGUAUGGUUGGAAAUCAUGCGUAGAGUGCAAUAGCAUAAGGGAGCUUGACUGUAAGACUGACAAGUCGAGCAGGUACGAAAGUAGGUUAUAGUGAUCCGGCGGUAGCGUGUGGAAGUGCCGUCGCUCAACGGAUAAAAGGUACUCCGGGGAUAACAGGCUGAUUUUGCCCAAGAGUUCAUAUCGACGGCAAAGUUUGGCACCUCGAUGUCGGCUCAUCGCAUCCUGGGGCUGGAGAAGGUCCCAAGGGUAUGGCUGUUCGCCAUUUAAAGCGGUACGUGAGCUGGGUUCAGAACGUCGCGAGACAGUUCGGUCCCUAUCUGUCAUGGGCGUUGGAUAUUUGAGGGGAGCUGCUCCUAGUACGAGAGGACCGGAGUGGACAGACCUCUGGUGUACCAGUUGUCUUGCCAAAGGCAUCGCUGGGUAACUAAGUUUGGAAAGGAUAACCGCUGAAAGCAUCUAAGUGGGAAGCCUGCCUCAAGAUGAGAUAUCCCUGAGACUUUAAGUCUCCUAAAGAACCGUUCAAGACCAGGACGUUGAUAGGCUGCAGAUAUAAGUACAGAGAUGUAUUCAGUCGAGCAGUACUAAUAGUUCGUGAGGCCUGGCCAUAUU